Molecule: long non-coding RNA, 2518 nt
Organism: Homarus americanus (American lobster)
Lineage: Eukaryota; Metazoa; Arthropoda; Malacostraca; Decapoda; Nephropidae
Exons: 2
Source: RefSeq, a predicted model, not a curated record
UGCGUCGUGCGUCAGGGUGUGUAAUGCGUCAGGGUGUGUAAUGCGUCAGGGUGUGUAAUGCGUCAGGGUGUGUAAUGCGUCAGGGUGUGUAAUGCGCCAGGGUGUGUAGCGUGAAGGAGUGUACAUACAAGACCUGCGGUAUUGUGGUGCCGCAGGUCUCAUGGAUGAUAUUGUUUACGAUUCACAAUUUUAAUAUAUUUUUUUUAUUAAUUAUAUUUCUCGACAGAAUCGUUACCAUCAAUUCGUAAUAAGAAAUAAGUUUCAUAUAAUUUUCAUAUUUAACCAAUAUUAUGUCAACACGGUAAUUACUGUUAAAAAAAUACAAAUGAAAAAAUAAUAACGAAAAAUAAAAGUUGAUUGUCAGAAUAAACGAACAAAAUCGAGAAUCCAAAUUUAUGAAAACACGAUUAUUUAUCCUCUACACUAAUAAUAAAUUCGAGAGUUAUAUAACAAUUGAUUGAAUAUUAAACCAAAUACACAAACAACAACUAAAAUAAUAUCGUAAUUAAAAAAAAAUACUUAAUUUCAAUUAGGAAAAAGUUGAUUUACGCCAAUGACGAGAAGGAGAGAUGGAUUAGCAAGGGAAUAUCUGAUAAUACGGAAUCUGGAUUAAGGGAAUUAAUAUAAACGGAUUAUGGAUUAUAGCCAGUGUGGAUUUUAUAGGAUAAUUUACAUCUUUUUGAAGUGGAUAAUCGUUUAACUAAUGGAUAACAAGAUAAGUAAAUAUAACGACUGUAGUGAAGUUAUCAAGUAGGGUGAUGAAGAAGGUUAAUGAUAGAAAAAUAGAACAAUACAUUUUUUCGAUAACCUGAUGAUUAGACAUCCCAGUUUAUUUCACCUCUAGAUUAACCUAACCUAACACUAUCCUUAUGUAAGUAAAUCUAACCAAACCUAACCUAACCUAACCUGACCUGACCUGACCUGACCUGACCUAUUCUAACCUACAAAACGAUACAAAAUCAAAUUACUAUAUAUAUCUUGAUUUGCCUCAAGAUCAGACACCCCAAAUUAUUUCACCUGAAGAUUAACCACCCAAACGUUAACCCAAAUUAACCUAAUCCUCUUAAGUUGUGUUAGAGUAGUUAACCUUCAAGUGAAAUAAGAUCAGGAGGUUAAUUAACAGGUGACACAGGUAAACUCCAAGUGAUACAUGAUGAAUAACACACAGGUAUUAAUGAUCAUUUACCUGAUGAAUAAUGUAAAUGAAUAAUAAUAAUAAAGCUACGAAUAACUGAUGUAUAAGUGAAGAGACCAAUAGCAGGUUAUUAUAAUUAUCUUUUAAACAUUAUACACUGUGGCUUAAACAUUAACUUAUUCAUGAAAUUACCGGUUUAUAUUUAGUUCUUCUUAGGUUUAUUUCCAGAUCAAAUUGAUUUAUAUUCUACGUUUGACUAAUAAAUCCAUUUUGAUAAGCCAUAAUCAUAAUAUAAACUGCUAGAGGAAGUUGUGAAUAAUAUUAAUGAAAGAUAAAUGUGAAAUAAUCUACUUAACAUAACUCGUAAAUAAAAAAGAAAUAUGAUUCGAAAAGGCAAGUCGCUGAUUGGUUUAGGUUGUGUGACGAAAAGGCAAAGUCGCUGAUUGGCUUAGGUUGUGUGACGUCAUUGAAAGAAAAACAGCUGUGUUCUUGGUUAUAAUGAACGAGUGUAUAAUAUAUUCCUACUUUUUGUUUUCUUCCUCAGCCGAUUAUUUUACAUUUUGGGAAUACUUACAGGAUAAAAAAGACUGUAGUUAUAGAUAAUAGAAUAAGUCCACCCGUCCGAAUUAUAGAGAAUUAUGUGAUGUCCUGAAUAAUAUUAUCUUUCAUCCAAAUUAUACCAGAACAAAUAUUAUUCCUACAACUAAGUAUAAUCUUCUUUGCGUUCGAUAAAUUAUACCAAACUAUCAAAUAAUUACAAGGUUUCUUUGGGUCAAUAUAGAGUUGUUCUAGAAGAUGUCAUUUUGGUGCCGAGGUAGUUAAUGAUGUCAUAGUAUUGACAUCAUGGUCACUCGAUGGUUUUAAUCUCAGGACCAAACUUGAGGAGAUAGGAGAUGUGGCAAGAAGGAGGAGAGAGAGAGAGAGAGAGAGAGAGAGACAGAUUGAUAUUCCAUUCGUGUACAAUAUUUACAAAAGUUGAUGAUUGAUUGAGAUGGCAAGACGCAUCCACUUACCCCUUGUUAAUAGACAAAAAAUAUAUAUAUAUAAAUAAAUAAAUAUAGAUAUUUUAAACUUUCAAUUUAUUUAGAAAUCCAUAUUAGGAGAUGGAUUUCUGUAGAGCUGUAUAAUGUAGUGUCAUUUCAUGUUUGUUAUUUUCCCUUAAUCCCUCUAUUCCACCCCAUCCCUUCCUUCCCACAUCAUUCCCUUUUCUCCCCCCUUCCAUUUGGUGGGUCAGAUCAGCCCACGACUUUGUACAUAUGGACUAAUGAUUAUGGAGAGCGAGGUGUAACGAGACGGUAGUACCUAGUUUGCUGAUGUGAUUUUUGUAUUUGUAAAUAUGUUUUAGGGUUUGUAUGCAGCCAAUAAACAUGUGGAUCAUCCGUU